Molecule: long non-coding RNA, 1219 nt
Organism: Cottoperca gobio
Lineage: Eukaryota; Metazoa; Chordata; Actinopteri; Perciformes; Bovichtidae
Exons: 3
Source: RefSeq, a predicted model, not a curated record
CCAGCUGACAUCAAACUGAUGCGCUCCUCCAAACAGCCACAUCAGCUCUCCCUGAUGACACCUGGACUCCGCUGGUUAUUCCACAGGGAAAGAUUGCGCAUUUGCCAAGGUUCACCACAGCAGGCAUGUCAUCGGAGGCUACAGGACGAGCCUGUGAUUGGCACGUGACUCAGCCAAUGAGAAGUCUUCGUCGGGUAGCCGGCCCAGCCCCUUGUGAUAAUUGGAAGCAAGAGUGCAUUAGGAAGAAGGAAAGCAAUGUCUGAUGGGAGUCGUCCGGACCGAGCCAGAUGACCCUCCACCUGGAAAACACGGGGCACUUAAAGCAGCAAAGGUCCUGCUUUGAGAGGUGAUGAAUCACCGUUUGGAGGGAUUCAGUUUAUGAAAAUAAGAAAAAUAAACAUCUAAAUGCUUCUGAGGGAGAAGCUGACUUUGGGGAGAUCGUCAACAUCCUCGUCGCCAACCUCUCUGUCCUGAAGCCUCACUUUUCCCUGGACAUCCAGAGUGCCUGGAUGCUCUGCUGCAGCGGUCAUGUGGGAGCAGUCAGAGAGUCACCCACGAGGCCCCGAACUGCAGCCAGCAGUGAUCAAUAACCAACCUCAGAACAUGGCAGCCCUUGAUUUGUUUCUGCUGUUUGAAGUCCGGACCUGCUGAUCUAAUCCCUCAGAUGGAUGUGAAUCUUAAGUAACAUUUGUCUUUGAUCCAUUAUUCAUCCGAUUCUUGAGAGGGAGCUAUUGAUAAAUUGACCAAAUGGACACAAGAGUUCUGCACAGAACACAGUGAAGGUUCAGCUCAGGUGUUCCUCACUGACCUGCCUCACGCUAUAACAGCACCAGGAAUGAUUUGUGCUGCUUUAUAUUGGAUCCUUGUUCUGGUGCGAGGCCUCCAAGUGGGAAUUGUGUCAAAGAGUGCUCGUCAUGAGACAGUUUUCAAGGAGACUAAAGGGUUUGGGCUCCUAAUUUUCAAAUAGAUAUAACUUAAUGCUGCAUCUUAAAAUGGUACAUUAGACAAUAAUGUACCUCCAUCUUUGUGCUAGUAGUUUAGGGAAACCUCGUUCCUGUUUCAACAUGACAUUUACAAAACCAUUUCUCUUUGAAAUGUGCAUUCCCUUUAUGCUCCUAUAUGUUUCUUUUAAUAUUCAUCUCUUUUGUGUUAUUUCUUUUAAUAUGUGGGAUUUGAAUAAAGGUAAAAAAUGCAGCCAGGUACCAACAUGUGAUGGAAC